GUCCACGCCGUAAACGAUGUCGACUAGCCGUUGGUCCUAUUUACAGGAUUAGUGGCGCAGCUAACGCAUUAAGUCGACCGCCUGGGGAGUACGGCCGCAAGGUUAAAACUCAAAUGAAUUGACGGGGGCCCGCACAAGCGGUGGAGCAUGUGGUUUAAUUCGAUGCAACGCGAAGAACCUUACCUACCCUUGACAUCCAGAGAAUCUGUUAGAGAUAGUGGAGUGCCUUCGGGAACUCUGAGACAGGUGCUGCAUGGCUGUCGU
This 264-nucleotide ribosomal RNA is filed under the name uncultured bacterium. RNAcentral describes it as "partial 16S ribosomal RNA". It matches the Rfam family "Bacterial small subunit ribosomal RNA", at positions 793 to 1055 of the family's 1533-position model. The record is from RNAcentral.